UACAGAGGUCUCGAGCGUUGUUCGGAUUCAUUGGGCGUAAAGGGCGCGUAGGCGGCGGGGUAAGUCUGGUGUGAAAUCUCGGAGCUCAACUUCGAAAUUGCACUGGAUACUGCUCUGCUAGAGGGCUGGAGAGGAGAUCGGAAUUCACGGUGUAGCAGUGAAAUGCGUAGAUAUCGUGAGGAAGACCAGUGGCGAAGGCGGAUCUCUGGACAGCUCCUGACGCUGAGGCGCGAAGGCUAGGGGAGCAAACGGG
Molecule: ribosomal RNA, 253 nt
Filed under: uncultured bacterium
Lineage: Bacteria
Description: partial 16S ribosomal RNA
Rfam family: Bacterial small subunit ribosomal RNA
Source: RNAcentral